UCCCUGGUGUCUCAGACAGUAAAGAAUCUGUCUGCAAUGCAGGAGACCUGGGUUCAAUCCCUGGAUUGGGAA
Molecule: transfer RNA, 72 nt
Filed under: Bos taurus (domestic cattle)
Lineage: Eukaryota; Metazoa; Chordata; Mammalia; Artiodactyla; Bovidae
Also listed under: 5 other names
Rfam family: tRNA
About the family: Transfer RNA (tRNA) molecules are approximately 80 nucleotides in length. Their secondary structure includes four short double-helical elements and three loops (D, anti-codon, and T loops). Further hydrogen bonds mediate the characteristic L-shaped molecular structure. tRNAs have two regions of fundamental functional importance: the anti-codon, which is responsible for specific mRNA codon recognition, and the 3' end, to which the tRNAs corresponding amino acid is attached (by aminoacyl-tRNA synthetases). tRNAs cope with the degeneracy of the genetic code in two manners: having more than one tRNA (with a specific anti-codon) for a particular amino acid; and 'wobble' base-pairing, i.e. permitting non-standard base-pairing at the 3rd anti-codon position.
Source: Rfam by way of RNAcentral